RNAcentral lists this ribosomal RNA (1434 nucleotides) under Rhipicephalus microplus (southern cattle tick). RNAcentral describes it as "SSU rRNA". It matches the Rfam family "Eukaryotic small subunit ribosomal RNA", at positions 639 to 1823 of the family's 1831-position model. Lineage: Eukaryota; Metazoa; Arthropoda; Arachnida; Ixodida; Ixodidae. The record is from RNAcentral.
CCACUGGUCGCUCUCCGGGGCUAUGGCUGGCCUGAAUCGCUGCAGUGUCAAAUCGUCUGAAGACGACUUAGGUACCUGUCGUGGUGUCGUAAGUAGUAGAGCAGCCACCACACUGCGAUCUAUUGAGGCUUAGCCUCUGACUGGAAGGUUUGUCCGCGGUACGAAACCGAAACGUUCAUCCUUCCUGCGAGAUCGCAAAGACUGUACGAGUGCAAAACCGCAUGGCCAGAUGGCCCGUUCGCUCGGGUUCGCCCGAAAAUGGAGGAACCACCAUACGGGACCCAAAGCCGCGUGAAGUACGAAAGGAACCGCGUGGUCGGGACCCGAAAAAGGCUUGAGCCGCGUGAAGUACGAAAGGAACCGCGCGGUCAAAAGUCGAGGUGUGUUUGACCUGGUGCCGUGUGAAGUACGAAAGGAACCACGUGGUCGAGUAGGGCUCGACCCUAAACCGCGCAAAGUACGAAAGGAACCGCGCGGUAGGGGCUCGAGACAAAGCUCGGCCCUAAACCGCGCCAAGUACGGAAGGAACGGCGGCGGAGGAGGGCUCGAGACAACUACUGCGAAGACGAACUACUGCGAAAGCAUUUGCCAAGAAUGUUUUCAUUGAUCAAGAACGAAAGUCAGAGGUUCGAAGGCGAUAUGAUACCGCCCUAGUUCUGACCAUAAACGAUGCCAACCAGCGAUCCGCCUGAGUUACUCAAAUGACUCGGCGGGCAGCUUCCGGGAAACCAAAGUAUUUGGGUUCCGGGGGAAGUAUGGUUGCAAAGCUGAAACUUAAAGGAAUUGACGGAAGGGCACCACCAGGAGUGGAGCCUGUGGCUUAAUUUGACUCAACACGGGAAAACUUACCCGGCCCGGACACUGGGAGGAUUGACAGAUUGAGAGCUCUUUCUUGAUUCGGUGGAUGGUGGUGCAUGGCCGUUCUUAGUUGGUGGAGCGAUUUGUCUGGUUAAUUCCGAUAACGAACGAGACUCUAGCCUAUUAAAUAGGUGCGGGGUUCCCAGCACCUUACAACCUUCUUAGAGGGACAAGCGGCUCCUAGCCGCACGAAACAGAGCAAUAACAGGUCUGUGAUGCCCUUAGAUGUCCGGGGCCGCACGCGCGCUACACUGAAGGAAGCAGCGUGUCUUUAUCCCUGUCUGAAAAGACUGGGUAACCCGUGGAACUUCUUUCGUGAUUGGGAUAGGGGCUUGCAAUUGUUCCCCUUGAACGAGGAAUACUCAGUAAGCGAGGAGCCAUAAGCUGCGCGUCGCCCGUCCGGCCUUUAGUACACACCGCCCGUCGCUACUACCGAUUGAAUGAUUUAGUGAGGUCUUCGGACCGAUGUCCGGCGCGGCCUUUCGGUUGCGCCGGUCUGUUGGAAAGAUGACCAAACUUGAUCAUUUAGAGGAAGUAAAAGUCGUAACAAGGUUUCCGUAGGUGAACCUGCGGAAG